AUUGAACGCUGGCGUCAGGCCUAACACAUGCAAGUCGAGCGGAUGAAGGGAGCUUGCUCCUGGAUUCAGCGGCGGACGGGUGAGUAAUGCCUAGGAAUCUGCCUGGUAGUGGGGGAUAACGUCCGGAAACGGGCGCUAAUACCGCAUACGUCCUGAGGGAGAAAGUGGGGGAUCUUCGGACCUCACGCUAUCAGAUGAGCCUAGGUCGGAUUAGCUAGUUGGUGGGGUAAAGGCCUACCAAGGCGACGAUCCGUAACUGGUCUGAGAGGAUGAUCAGUCACACUGGAACUGAGGCACGGUCCAGACUCCUACGGGAGGCAGCAGUGGGGAAUAUUGGACAAUGGGCGAAAGCCUGAUCCAGCCAUGCCGCGUGUGUGAAGAAGGUCUUCGGAUUGUAAAGCACUUUAAGUUGGGAGGAAGGGCAGUAAGUUAAUACCUUGCUGUUUUGACGUUACCAACAGAAUAAGCACCGGCUAACUUCGUG
RNAcentral lists this ribosomal RNA (484 nucleotides) under uncultured bacterium. RNAcentral's name for it is "partial 16S ribosomal RNA". It matches the Rfam family "Bacterial small subunit ribosomal RNA", at positions 30 to 507 of the family's 1533-position model. The record is from RNAcentral.